Molecule: microRNA, 22 nt
Filed under: Pongo pygmaeus (Bornean orangutan)
Lineage: Eukaryota; Metazoa; Chordata; Mammalia; Primates; Hominidae
Also listed under: 2 other names
Description: ppy-miR-4798
Source: miRBase by way of RNAcentral
UUCGGUAUACUUUGUGAAUUGG